GCGAUCCAUCCAGAAGGAUCGAGAGACUCUGACCUGACGCGACCCGGAGACCCGCAAAGAGGAUCCGACUGGCGCUACUCCUUCCGGCCACAGCACAGUGGUGGACCACCGGCAUUAUCUCCGCCUCGCCAUCGUCGUCACGCCCGUGGCCUCUGAUUUUCCAUGCAUUGAACAUCGAAGACCCGAAGCUCCGAGUCUCCUCCGGCGAGUUUCAACGAAUUCCGGCUACUCCGGUCACCGAUUAAGCUGCAUGUGGUAGGAAAAAUCAUCCUCUCGUCAAUAUAUAUACGUUAGACCAAUUAUUUUUUCAAUUCGAACGAUUUUGACUGAUUGGGUUUCUGGGUUACCUUCUGCUCCGCCGUGUUCUUCAACGCUGGCAACUUCUCCGGCCUUUCUGGGCUUCGUUUCUUGCUCGGCUGCACUCAUAGGCUAACAAUCGAAAAGCUUUCUGGUUGUUGGCAUCACACUCACCAGUUCAUCUUCGGCAGUGACACUGGGAAAUUGGGUUUUCGUCAUCAGGCUCGUCCUGGGAACUGAGUUGGGUUGAUUAAAGUUGAUCUCCGAUUUCGAAGGUAUAAUCUCGAACUAGAAUCACGUUUUGUCUUGUGUUAGUGAUCGGAAGUUAUGGAACUGAGUUUGGUUUGAUAUGGUGAAAUUGAAGACUCUGUUAUCAAAUUGGUUAUGUUGUCUUGUUUAUGGUGUUUUAAGUUGUUGCAAGUAAAUUUGGGAAUUGAUAUUUGAAUUGAGAUUGUGGACUGAAAUUGGCUGAAUGUGUUGUUUGUGCUUACGGUGAAUCUGCGUUUAUGAGAAUGGUGAAUUGGAUUGGAAUGGGUUGCUCGUAUGAAGUUGUUGAUAUGUAAUCGGGUUCUGUAAACUUGAAGUUUUGUCAUGAUAAUGGUUGUGAAGUUGUUGAUAUGCUCGUAUGAAGUUGUUGAUAUGUAAUCGGGUUCUGUAAACUCGAAAUUGUGUUUUUGGGUGACGUCGGAUUUCAUUGUGAUUCCGGUUUCCGGCAGCGGUUCCGGAGUUUUUGAUUCGUCUCCGAUAGCUAUUGUUGGGUAUUGUUGCUUGCGUUCCUUCGGAGUCUAUCUGAUCCUGCUGCACCAAACGAAGUCGAUCACUUGACUGCGCCAGUAGCUAAUCAAUUGCCACAGGUCGGAGUGUCGGACCUCGAAACCAGAAUUCCUAAUCUUCCUCGGGCCAUGUCCUUCCUCUUGUAGGGAAAAGGAGAUGAACGCAAGUAUGGGUCCUCAGACUUCAAAGGAAGUAAGGAACCCAGCAGUCUCGGAUUAAGAGAAUGGGGUUGUCCCUUCUUCGUAGAAAUCGUUUCACCCAUCGUCAACCGGGAACAGGCUAAGCCUUUCCCAUUAACAUUUCCUCUUUAUAUGUUUGACAUGUGAGCUGCACGUGUCUGGGCCCAAAGCUCCGAGCAUGCAAAGCUCCGAGCAUGGAAGACGUUCUCGACUUGGGAGCCCAAGUCUCAUAUUUGUCAUUUGAGACUUAUUCAGUUCCAAGACCCGUGCACUGUUCAUUGGGGCCACAACACUGGCUGUGCCAGCCUAAGUCAGGACGCAACGCGCCAGGAGGGGAGAAGGCAGCCAACGCGCUGGGCAGGAGGGAGAAGAAAGGAGACGCGCGCGUGGUGCGCUGGAGGAAGAAGAAAGCUGACUUUCAGCUGCUCUGCUGGGCCCUGCCUGAUGACGCUGUCCCCUGCCCAACGUGGUGUACUGUGCCACGGUCACGAGAAGGACGGCUCAGAUCUGUCCAUUUUGAAUAUAAAUUAUUUUUAGGCUGUACGAGUCCAUAUUGUAAUAAUUAUGAAGGUUCCGAGUUGGUCCUUCAGCUGCUUAAUAUUAAUAUUAAUACAGAAAGACUUACAGGUAAACUAAGCGUGGACUUGACUAGUUUUAUAGACUUGUAAACUUGGAUCGAUGAGAGUACCAUCAGUACUAUUCUGGGAAAAUUGAAGAUAAGUUUCUUCAAUCCCACAUUCAAAUGGGGAAGGGAAACCUUAUAAUUGCAAGCAGAUGGUUAAUCUUGCAGAAGAUAACCAGCAAUUGCGGAAGGAGAUUUCAAGAAAGUUGGGCUUGUACUACUUUUCCUACACUUGAUGCAAGAGGUUUCCAUCAAGUUCGUGGUGGCAGCUCAUCAUUGACAGAAGAGCUGGAGGGUAUUCUUAAUCCUGAAGAUCAAGGGAGGGAGAGUAGUACUAGCUCUAUGACCUGCAUUUACAAGGUUCCUAGCACCAUGCGUCAGGUGAACAGGAAGGCUUACGAGCCCAACAUUGUGUCCAUCGGUCCUUACCAUCACGGAGUUGAAAGCCUACAAGAAAUGGAGAAGCUUAAGCACACAUACUUUCGGCGCCUCUUUCAACCAAACUACCAUGAUCGGUUGGAUGAUGAAGUAGUGUCGCUGAAGAAGAAGGCGGUAGAUGAUGCGAAGAAGGCAAUGGAGGAAUUGGAGGUGGCGGCUAGGAGCUGCUACUCGGAACAAUCCAAGCUUAGCAGCAAGGCGUUUGUAAAGAUGAUGCUGAUUGAUGGUUGCUUCAUUAUAGGGUUGCUCAGGGACUCAUUGCAGUCCGAUUUUGAGCACACACCCUCCAUCAUUCAAAGGUGGAUGCUUCCAACUCUGCGCCGGGAUUUGAUCAAGCUCGAAAAUCAGCUUCCCCUCUUUGUCCUGCGCAAAUUAUUUCAGCUGACCAAAGCAAGCACUACUUGUCAUGAGAAACCAAUUGCAAGUUGGGAAUUGGAAGCACUAGCCCUUCGCUUCUUUGAGCCGCUACUGCGAGGACAUGAUGUUCUGACUGAAGCAAGCGCUACUUGUCAUGAGAAACCAAUUGCAAUUUGGGUAUUGGAAGCACUAGCCCUUCGCUUCUUUAAGCCGCUACUGCGAGGACAUGAUGUUCUGAACAAAACACCGCAGCAUUAUGCACCAAAACAAUGUCAAAGCAGCAGCAGCAAGCACUUUCUUGAUCUUUUCCACAGUAAAAUCAGUCCGGACUGCUCCACCUGUACAGCACUUCAAGCGCCGCGGCGAGGGAAGCAAACCAAGCAGAUUCUAUCAAUACAAGAGCUCAAGGAGGCCGGAGUCAAGUUCAGAACAGACCCCACUCGAGGGCCACUAGACAUCACUUUCGGCCGCGUCGCUUGGAGUUGGGGGAAGGUACUCACAAUCCCUCGAAUACACAUUGAUGAUCACAGAGGCACAUUGUUUCGAAACAUGGUUGCAUUCGAAAAAUGUGACCGCAACUGCCACCAAGAUGUUACAACCUAUUUGUUUUUCCUCGACAGCCUCAUCAACUCGGCCAAGGAUGUAGGGCUCCUGCACUACCACGGAGUCCUGCACCACUCUCUAGGCAGCAACAGGAGGGUGGCAAAACUCGUCAACAACCUUUGCAAGGAGGUUGGUCCGGAUGUUUCCAAGUCCUACUUGUACAAGGUGGUUAGAGAUGUCAAUGAGUACUAUAGUUCCAAGUAUGGAAAAAUAAGAGGCUUCUUGGUACACCACCAUUUUAGUAGCUGGUUGGUGGGCAUCUCUACUCUUGCAGCAUGCUUAGCUCUUUACCUAGCACUCAUUCAGACCGGCUGCACAGUCGCCACUGCCAGAGAAGACUUGCAUAAACACACCACAUUUGGAGACUUUCUGAAAGAGUCUUUGCUUUGGCAUCAUUUAUCUAGGUGGGUCAUUUGGAAAUGCCCUGUCAGUGGCAGUACUGAGAAUAACGCCCUUGAUCCUAAUGAUGAAGUACUGUGUAUACUACUUGACAUAGGAAUCGAAUUUUAUUAACUUAGCUUCAUCACAUCAUCACUAUGAGGAAUGUAGCUAGCUACUAGCUCUAAUGAAUCCAAACUCGAUUUUGUUUCGUGUGUGUUCAAUCCCAAAUUUCUUUCUUUCUCAUCCAAUUUUAUGUUGUUAUUAAUUCUAUUAUUAUGGGAUCUUUAUUUGCGAAAUGCAUAUUGAAUUUACCUUUGUAAAAAAUUUAUUCUUGAUCUUCAAUAUUCUCAUUCAAUUCGCGGAUGGAAAUGCUCUAAUAUAAGGAAUCAAAUUUGCAAGAUGUAAUAGAAACGUUUUCAAAAAUCCUAGUAUACCGCAAGAAUAAAUGAUGUGGGGCUCUACCCAAUUUAUUUGUUCUUCCAUUUGAUUAAAGUUCCAUGGCAUGACUCACGCGCGAGUAACCUCAAAGUUAGGUGUGGAAGUAAUAUGUUAAGUCCUAACUCCUAAGUCCCAAGUUCUGAGUAUGUAUAUCAUACUCUUGUGGUGAUUAUGCUGGUUGUGUCCAGAACUAGUGCUGGUUUUGUCCAGAUCAUAUACUCUCUUGUGGUGUUUAUGCUGGCUGUGUCCAGCUCUAGAGGGCCUUGCUCCUCCUAUUACUAUGUUAUUACAAUUUCUUGUCAAUUAGAUCGGAAACUUUUCAAAUCUGUUAUCAGCCCCCACAAUUCCUCUCACCCAAUAUCCCACAUCAACUCUCCUCCCUCUACCACUGAUUUUCAUGGAGAUUCUCAUGGCUACCUAUAUAAAGUGAAAAUCACUUACCAAGAGGAGUAUGGGUGCUCACGCGUGGGUGUUUCACCCCCCAUUAUCCAUUGUAUUUUUUCUCUGUUGCUGACUUUUGUCCCCCUUUGGUGGCAGUGGUUCUCUCCCGGAUCGUUGGGUUCUGGUGGAGAGGUGAACGUCAGUCUGCGGUAUUGGCUCCUCCCCCGUAUCAUCAUGUAUUUUGGGCUCUUCUAGCGACAUCUUGGUCGAUGAUUGUGAGGCAGUUCGUCUGCGUGCAAUUUGGCUGGGUUGGCGGCUGCAGUGAUAUCAUUUUAGGAUAUUUUCUUUUUAAUUUUCUAGGGUUACUUUCUUAUGACCAGAUUCAUAUGGAAUUAGGUUUGAUGUGUAAUUUUCCUACUCUUGUUUACUUUGUAAUUCAGAGCUUUGGACUCUCUCUUUGGGUUCUAUCCCUUUGGGUUUAUUAAUGAAUAUUGUCACUUUAACCAAAAAAAA
This is an RNA transcript of Rosa chinensis, 4983 nucleotides long. It is a transcript of the gene named UPF0481 protein At3g47200, with no coding region annotated. NCBI's taxonomy places the organism in Eukaryota, Viridiplantae, Streptophyta, Magnoliopsida, Rosales, Rosaceae. The transcript has 2 exons. The record is from RefSeq and is a predicted model, not a curated record.